GUGCCAGCCGCCGCGGUAAUACCCGCAGCCCAAGUGGUGGUCGCGAUUAUUGGGCCUAAAGCGCUCGUAGCCGGGUCAGCAAGUCCCUUGUGAAAUCGGGCGGCCUAACCGUUCGGCUUGCAAGGGAUACUGUUGGUCUUGAGGCCGGGAGACGUCUGAGGUACUCCGGGGGUAGCGGUAAAAUGCUGUAAUCCUCGGGGGACCACCAGUGGCGAAGGCGUCAGACGAGAACGGACCUGACGGUGAGGGGCGAAGGCUAGGGGAGCGAACGGGAUUAGAUACCCCGGUAGUCCUAGCUGUAAAGCAUGCGGGCCAGGUGUCUGGUGUUCCUCGAGAGCACCAAGUGCCGGAGGGAAGCCGUUAAGCCCGCCGCCUGGGAAGUACGGUCGCAAGGCUGAAACUUAAAUGAAUUGACGGGG
RNAcentral lists this ribosomal RNA (419 nucleotides) under uncultured prokaryote. RNAcentral's name for it is "bacterial SSU rRNA". It matches the Rfam family "Archaeal small subunit ribosomal RNA", at positions 455 to 873 of the family's 1478-position model. The record is from RNAcentral.